This is a long non-coding RNA of Panthera uncia (snow leopard), 835 nucleotides long. RefSeq lists it as uncharacterized. The transcript is spliced from 4 exons. The record is from RefSeq and is a predicted model, not a curated record. NCBI's taxonomy places the organism in Eukaryota, Metazoa, Chordata, Mammalia, Carnivora, Felidae.
UUUAAGGUAUCAACUUCCAUUCUCCAAAUGGUAUCCAUUCUACAAAUGGAAAUAGGAGAGUGCAGUGUGGUCUCUGUCGCUCAUGCUCAGUGAACACAGCUGGGUCCAAAGGUGUCUUUCCGGGAUUAGAUGGCGAAGCUGGAGUAUCCCUUGUGAGGAAUUCCUACUAAGGAAUCUCUGCCUAGGCGGCUUGUGGGGCAAGAGUAGGUGCUGAGUUGCUCUCCUCACCAGUGCACGAGGCAUGCAGAUUAUAUGUGCAAACUCCCUGAUGAAUAAGGAGAGCAGCUAGUAACUCAACUAAGGGAAUAUCCAUGGCUCCUGUCCACCUCCCAGGCUUUCUAGAAACAGCAGAUGAAACCAUCUGGGCAGAGAUCUUUGAGACUCAGUACACAAAAGUCAGAAUUUACAGGAUGCUCUUGCAAGCAGCAGAACUAACACAGGACCAGCCUUCUUCACACCUCACAUCACAGAUGAGCAACCUGCUACAGUGGACCACAACAAAUUCCUGAAGGAGGAAAUGAGCAAUUAUCUAUAUCCAUGAAAGUCACGUUGAGAGAACAUAUUCAUGGGGACAAAUUUAGGAUAAAUGCAAAGUAUUUCUUGCCUUUGGAAAUUGUCAGAGAUUAGAAUGCCAGGGGAUCGUGUGGGAUCAUCCCCUUGAGUAAUAAAGAGGAGACAGAAGACAGGCAGUUACCUCCUGAGUCUCUUUCAUUCUUAAGGUGUAGGUCAUCUGCGUCAGACGGAUUCUAAAUGCCAUCAUCACCUGGACAAUUUGGGUGAUGAGCAGGUUUUGCCAUUGCCCAAAUAACCACUGUCUGAUGGAAGUAGGAGCUCC